GGCUCUGGCGCCUGUGCUGUGACCCCUGCCCCUGCUGAUGAUGAAACCUGUCCUCAGCUGAGAUGCAGCGAUGCCUGGUAGGGCUGGGGGCUGCUCCUGUGUCUCCCCAGGCUGUGACAAGAGGAGCCUCCCACGUGGUGUGGAUGAGGAGGCAGAUGGCAGGGCCUGUGCAUUUCUGUGCUUGAGUGGGCCUUGAAAGUGGUUCAGCAACCAGGAAGAAGUGUUCAUUCCUCGACAACAACAUCCCCGGGCUCUGGUGACUUGGCUGACACUGGAUGGCCCUGGAAUGAAAAAGGCAAAGAGGCAAAAUGUGCAAGGGCC
RNAcentral lists this long non-coding RNA (321 nucleotides) under Homo sapiens (human). RNAcentral's name for it is "non-protein coding lnc-HAMP-1:2". The record is from RNAcentral. Lineage: Eukaryota; Metazoa; Chordata; Mammalia; Primates; Hominidae.